UAUUAGCUGUCCUGACGAUCAAAUAAAGGUUGGUACUGAACGUCUAACAGUUUUUACAGGCCUGAAAAAUAGUUACACAAAGAAUGAAGAUGUUAAAUAUGUGAAUACAUCAGUUCAUGAUGAUGAACUGUAUACAUAUGGUAGCAGUCAUGAAGUUUUUAUUGGUUAUGAUGAAGCUCUGAACUAUGGUAUAUGUAGAUUCAAAGUUUAUGUAAAAUAUGCUGAUUGUCCUAUACCUGAAACUGAUGCAGCUAUUGGUUAUUGUCCUAACAGUAAACAUAUUUGUAAAUUAAAUUGUCCAUCUGGAGAAACGUUAUCUAGAAAACACAAGCUUAGAUACAGAUGUGGAGCGUUGGGAGUCUAUAAUUCAGAACAUCCCAGACAGAAAUUUAUUUUACCUACGUGCGGAGGUUUGUACGGUUGAUA
Long non-coding RNA from Mytilus trossulus (common blue mussel), 426 nucleotides. RefSeq lists it as uncharacterized. The record is from RefSeq and is a predicted model, not a curated record. The transcript has 3 exons. Lineage: Eukaryota; Metazoa; Mollusca; Bivalvia; Mytilida; Mytilidae.